UCCCAUCGAUAAUCUCGAAAGAUCUGGGGUAAUUUCUAUAUUUUCUUAAAAGCCAAAUAAACGUCUGAAACUUAUUAAAUAUGUUGUCUAGAUGUGAGUAAGUAAUGUUUAACUCAAAAUAGCACAAGUGUAAUAAAGUUUGUACAUUUUGAAAUAUUUUGUGGAAAGCACAACUAUGCGACAGUUGACCGCACUGUUUGUUUACAUUCUGGACUUAGAAUUUGCGCGCUCGGAGGCCGUGUUGUGAAAUGAUCUGAAAUAUACUGAAAUACACUCCUCGUAAAUGCUGCAGUCCUUGUCCAGUGUACGAGCACAGUCCCAGAAUGGAAGAAGGAUAGUUAAGAUGCAUCGCAGACCUUCAAGGAGUGGAUUUUUUUCCUGUAAGGAGUCAAGAUGAGGAAAAAAAAUUCCACCAAGAAGAAAACAGAUCUGGAUUCACAUGCAAGACUUGCAACAGUUUUGUAUAAUUACAUUUACUCAUAUUAAAAAGGUGUGCUGACCUUUGUCUUAUCGGUCAAGUGUUCAGUUAUCACCCCCUACCCAGGGCAUUGUCACAGUAAGUUGGGUAAAUCGUAUCAAGUUUAAUUUACAACAAAACCAAUGUCCAGACCCAGUGAGAUGCCCAGCUAUCUAGUGAUGGGACUACAAACUUAUUCAGUUGCUCAAUUAUAGUGUAAGCGGCUUUUAACUUAGAGUCCUAUCUGAUAUCAAUUAUGAAAAUUGAAUGAUAGAUAUGAUACAACUACCCUUCAUGGUUUUUUGCACUCAUCUUCAAUCAUUUUCUUAACUAGAGUUUCCUUAAUAACGUGUGAUAUGAUCUGUGUGAUUUUUCUUCACUUUCUACAUGUUGUAAGUGCUAAUUGGAUUUCAGCUGUGGACUUGACAUGCUGGAUUGAGGAUGCGUUCGCGCACUCGAACCUAAUUCGUCGAAUGUCAUAAUCAUAUGCCAUUGCAAAUCCUUUGAAAGCACAAAUUAUUCAGUGUGUUGUUUUAAUUGACUUUUGCUAAAUGUAUGUUACUGGUGCUCAACUCUGUCAAUAAUAUUUUUUAUUCUAGCUUGGGUACUGUCAUUGUAAGUAAGAUCAAGUGAGAUGCCCUGCCACCUAGUCGUGAUACUCUGCGACACCUCCUCUACCACUGGGAAAUGUUGUGGUUCAAGUGAUUUAGUUAAUCUUCUGUCUAAGAAAAAUGGCUGGGAUUCAGCGCUUGACUUUAACUAGAAAUCAAACAAAAUUGAAAAGAUUUUAGCUACAUUUGAGUGAGUGUCAGUGGCCUAUAGCUGUUGGGGUCCAGCUUAUCAUUCUUCUUUGAGACAUGGAGUCCCAGAACUAUUUCGAAGAGUGGAGUUUUCCUUCAAAGCUUGUCCAUAUUGUGGCCACCUGCAACUCUAUGUGAUAAUGACCUUUGGCACCAUCUGCUUCAAAGCAUUUGGAACAAAACUGUGGACGUAUUACCAUUGGCACUGUUGUCUCUUUUCAUUUAUGAACAUAGCGUUCUUUCUCCGGAUUGAAAAGUAAUUAUACUUGUAACGCCUGAAGCCCAUGCUCUCUGUGUUCUGUUUUGUUUAAUAAUCUAAUUGUUUAAAAUUACUUUGGCCUUGAGACAUCCUAUUUCAUGUAAACUUCAUGUAAACAAUUCUUUUGUGGUCAAUGGGUUAAAUUUAGUAUAAUUUGAUUUCAUCGUUUGUUGUGAGCUUAUGGUUUGUUCCAUGAGUGAGUUUAUGACAGUCGUUCGAGAGAUUUUGGGCAUGAUUGUAGAGUCCUAGAUUGAGCUGUUUUUGUGCCACGUUAUCAUUCAAUUUUCCAGAAUUCAGUCUAGUUAUUUCUAUAUUAUCUUUUGUUUUGCAGGCACCAUUAAUUGGCCAAGUAAGCAUGUUGUGAUCACACAUACAUCAUUGUCUUUUUCAAUAUUAAGAAUAUCCAUAUUUCCUGUUUCCACAUUCUUUAUUAUAUGGCCAAUAUUUUUGUUUGAGAUGUUCCUUGCUUUCUUUUUAGAUGUGUGUUAAAUCCUAGUUGGAACAUGGCAUUAAAAAUCUCUUCUUUUUUGACAGAGAUUUUAUUUACCUGUAGAUCAAUUUUAAAGUCUCCUACAAUAUACAGUGGUUCAUAUUUAUUUUCCUCAGAACGGAUUUUGUUAGAUCUAUGCAGUUAUCAAAUUCAUAUAUGUUCGGAUUGUUGGACCCCACUAAAUUCAUUAACAUACUUUCCUUCUAGUUUCAUAUGGAUGAUUUUAACAUAUCUUAAUAUUUAUAUAUUCCAAUAACUUGCCUCCUUUUCUUCUUCCUAUCAUAUUGUGAAGAUCAUUGACUUUGUUAAUUUUGUUGAAAAUGGAGUCCUCAGGAUUCAUCCAAGUUUCUUCAAGACAUGUAAUGUCUAUUUCACCAUAGCUUUGUAUGACACUUUUGAUUUUAUCAAACUUCCCCUCUGGAUUUUUGAUUUUGCCUUUGAAACAUGCAUAUGUAAUCAGUCUUGUCUUCUCUUUUAAGAUUGUGACUUGAUAAUAUACGUAUUUCAAUUAUUUUGGGUCUGUUAAACUUAAACGUCUAGUCCUAAAUUGUUUGCCACUAUCUCAAAGUCAGUGGAGUGUAUUUCAUAUCUUUUAUCUUUGGGAUCAUCUUUGGCCAUUUGGGUCGUAAUUUCUUGGCAAUCAUAAAAGCACUAUUGUUGGUCAGUGUAUAAGGCAGGCCAGCCAAAGGUCAUACUUUUCCUCUCCCCCUCUCGCUUGUGAACUCCUAUUCUGACCGUGCUUUGAAAAGUACAACCCUUCGCUGAUCUCUCUGUAGAAUAUCCCUCAUUGCUGAAAUAUGUUCUUUUUUUGGUAUUGUUUUUCAGGGGAGAAAUUGUCAUUGAUAAAAAGAAGUCUAAGGCGGAAAUUGAUUAUCAGUAAUUUGUAUUAUUUAAUUUUGUUCUUGAGCAGCCUAGUUAUGUGUAAGGAAAUAUGUCUUUGUGGAUGAAGUAGUGGCACGACCGUUUCAGUUUUGGGCAAUUCCAGAAAAAAUUGUAAGAAAUGUCCGUCAGUGACGGCAUUUGUGAGCGACUGAGAGGUGCUACAGGUUGUCAGUGGCUCACAAAUGCCGUCACUGAUGGACACCCCUGUCUGGAAUUGUCCUUUAAGGCUCAACUUGAGAUCAGUCUAAAUUUCUUAUUGGAUGCGAAGUGGUAAUGUGUAAAAGUUCAGUUUUCUAUAAACAACUCUGCUUGUAUUGCUGGCUUUUACCAUCCUCGAUCUCAUACUGAUAAAUAUGCCUUCAUUCCUGAAGAUGAAUGGAACGAGUUGCGAUAACUUGUAAGAGUUACAGAGCCAGCUCCUUUAUCUAUAAUUGUAUUGUACAUCCUACAGAUAAAAUAUAUCUCCACUCAUACUUGUGCGCCAAAAUUGUUUUUGAUUUUGUAUUGCUUACUAAUACAGGAGCUGAGCAUGCCCGGGAAAUAUCAGAAGAUGCAUCAACAUUUCGAGCAGUUUUUGUACAAAUUUGAGUUAAAUAAAAUCGAAACUCCA
Long non-coding RNA from Frankliniella occidentalis (western flower thrips), 3498 nucleotides. RefSeq lists it as uncharacterized. The transcript is spliced from 8 exons. The record is from RefSeq and is a predicted model, not a curated record. NCBI's taxonomy places the organism in Eukaryota, Metazoa, Arthropoda, Insecta, Thysanoptera, Thripidae.